Long non-coding RNA from Onychostoma macrolepis, 474 nucleotides. RefSeq lists it as uncharacterized. Lineage: Eukaryota; Metazoa; Chordata; Actinopteri; Cypriniformes; Cyprinidae. The transcript has 3 exons. The record is from RefSeq and is a predicted model, not a curated record.
GGGGUGUCUCAAAUUAGCCACGGGCUGCUGUUCUCCACUAACUUACUUUUUAAAGAGAGGAACGGGCUAGCAAUAUAUUAAUAUAGAGAUUUCUCCAAGCAAAAACAAGAUCCUGAAUAUGAGGGCAGAAUGAGGGCGUUUUACAGAAAUGCAGAAUUAGGUUCAUUCAGAUCUUUGUGGCACCAAAUGCAUUGAAAGUCACAGGUCAGCUGGAAUUCUGGAAAGAGGGUGCAAAGAAAAAGGAUCUGCCUGAAUCCCAUCCUGCUGUUUCUCAUCGGAGAGCUUGUCAACUUUGACUGUCAAAAUUACUGAAAUUUAACACAACACAAACUCAUUUUUAAUGUAUUAUUUGAUUUUAUUUACACUACCAGUCAAAAGUUUUUGAACAGUAAGAUUUUUAAUGUCUUCUGCUUACCAAGCCUGCAUUUAUUUGAUCCAAAGUACAGCAAAAACAGUACAAUUUUGAAAUAUUUU